AACGAUUCAGAUCGGUCUCAGUGGUUCACAUCUUGAAAUCGAAAUCGAAGGUCAUCUCAGCGAUUCAGAUCGGUGAUUCAGCUUGGUGAUUCAGAGGUUCAGAUCGAUCUCAGCGAUUCAAAUCGGUGAUGAAGACAGUAAGAUUACCACUGUUCAACUAAGGUUACUGCAAUUUUUCCACAAAACAUUAUCACAUGUUCAGGAGACACAACUUAUGAUGAAGACAGAAAUUCUAAGAGAAGGGCAAUACUGUUGGGAGUAGGAGCAUUAGCUUUGAUUUCAUGCCCUGCAAGUUCACUCUUUGCUGAAGGAAUUUGAUUUCAGAGGGCACGAUUCUGCAUUCAAAGACCGAUAUCUGCAAUUACAAAGUGUUCGGGUGAGCGUUGGGAAUGCCCUGCACUCAAAUUUCUCUGACAACCCUGACCAAGAAUCUAUUAAACAGGAAAAGCUGAUCCUUGGAAUGCUGAGCCCUAUCGAUGAAUUCUCCAACAUAAAUAGUAGGAACAAACAGUGAAUGAUACUAAACAGAAAGCAAAGGUGUGAUGUCUGAAAGUUGAUUGCUUGAAGAGGUAAUAUGUUAGUAACUUGAGAUCCUUUGUGAUUGUUAAUGUUAAUUGGAUGGUUAUAGGCAAUGUAUGAAGAAGUUUAUGACAAGCUCACAUGUGAUUGAUCCGUGUUACAUCUAGUGAUUCUUUAAGGAUGUAUGGCCUGCAGCCCAUCGUUUUGGCCCGGGUCCAGUCUCGCCCUCCUAUCUCAGAAGUGAACAGGCUUGCAACAUGUUGAGAAGUGCUUAGAUGUAGUUGCUACUUUGCAAGCUAAUAAGGGUACUGGCGAGGCAUUAUUAGUUGAUUUUGAAGUGUCAGAAGGCAUCUAUUCCCGAGCAUGCAUCGAGGAUACUGAUUCAGUAUGUCUAUGGCUGGGAGCAAAUGUCAUGCUGGAGUACUCAUGUGAAGAGGCCACUGAUCUUCUACAAAAGAAUUUGGAAAAUGCUAGAGCUAGUUUAGAAGUUCUUGUUACAGAUCUACAAUUCUUAAGGGAUCAAGUGACCAUUACUCAGGUAUAGUUGGUGUUUCUCUUUUUAUGAGUUGUGGUUAUUAAUUGAUUUUAAUUUUUUUUUUUAAGAAAAAGAAAAAGAAAAAACCUAAAUGUAAUUAAUAAAAUAAAAAAACUAUUUUGGAAACAGAUGAUCCAAACCCGAAACCAAAAAAGCCUGACACUCUGGCAUCAAUCAGGGAUCUGAUUGGUCAUACCAUCUAUUAUUUAGGUGGUGCAUGGACUGCUAGAAAGUUCAAUGUUCCUUAUAUAUAUAUAUAUAUAUAUAUCUUGUGUAUCUAUGUAGAGAGUGCUCUUUCCUACUAUAGUUGCAGUUGUUGUUUGUCGGGUGAGAGAGAUUGCAA
Non-coding RNA from Camellia sinensis, 1397 nucleotides. Lineage: Eukaryota; Viridiplantae; Streptophyta; Magnoliopsida; Ericales; Theaceae. The record is from RefSeq and is a predicted model, not a curated record.